AGCGAACGCUGGCGGCAGGCUUAACACAUGCAAGUCGAGCGGGAACUUCGGUGUCAGCGGCAGACGGGUGAGUAACACGUGGGAACGUACACUUAGGUUCGGAAUAACGCUGGGAAACUAGCGCUAAUACCGGAUACGCCCUUUUGGGGAAAGGCUGGCGGCCGAAGGUUCGGCCCGCGUCUGAUUAGCUGGUUGGUGGGGUAAUGGCCUACCACGGCGAGGAUCAGUAGCUGGUCUGAGAGGAAGGUCAGCCACACUGGGACUGGGACACGGCCCAGACUCCUACGGGAGGCAGCAGUGGGGAAUAUUGGACAAUGGGGGCAAGCCUGAUCCAGCCAUGCCGCGUGAGCGAUGAAGGCCUUAGGGUUGUAAAGCUCUUUUGUCCGGGACGAUAAUGACGGUACCGGAAGAAUAAGCCCCGGCUAACUUCGUG
This 433-nucleotide ribosomal RNA is filed under the name uncultured bacterium. RNAcentral describes it as "partial 16S ribosomal RNA". It matches the Rfam family "Bacterial small subunit ribosomal RNA", at positions 29 to 507 of the family's 1533-position model. The record is from RNAcentral.